This is an unclassified non-coding RNA of Pan paniscus (pygmy chimpanzee), 99 nucleotides long. It matches the Rfam family "Y RNA". From Rfam's summary of the family: Y RNAs are components of the Ro ribonucleoprotein particle (Ro RNP), in association with Ro60 and La proteins. The Y RNAs and Ro60 and La proteins are well conserved, but the function of the Ro RNP is not known. NCBI's taxonomy places the organism in Eukaryota, Metazoa, Chordata, Mammalia, Primates, Hominidae. The record is from Ensembl.
GGCUGAUCUGAGAGAGGUGUUUACAACUAAUUGAUCACAACCCAUUACAGAUUUCUUUGUUCCUUCUCCACUCCCACUGCUUUACUUGACUAGCCUUAA